GCCCGGGUGGCGAAAUCGGCAGACGCGACGGACUCAAAAUCCGUUGGCCGCAAGGCCGUGAGAGUUCGACCCUCUCCCCGGGCA
Molecule: transfer RNA, 84 nt
Filed under: bacterium
Lineage: Bacteria
Description: tRNA-Leu
Rfam family: tRNA
About the family: Transfer RNA (tRNA) molecules are approximately 80 nucleotides in length. Their secondary structure includes four short double-helical elements and three loops (D, anti-codon, and T loops).
Source: RNAcentral